CCUACGGGGGGCUGCAGUGGGGAAUAUUCCGCAAUGGGCGAAAGCCUGACGCAGCGACGCCGCGUGAGGGAUGAAGGUCUUCGGAUCGUAAACCUCUGUUAGCAGGGAAGAACGGUCACUGUGCUAAUCAGCAGUGAAUUGACGGUACCUGCCAAGGAAGCAACGGCUAACUCCGUGCCAGCAGCCGCGGUAAUACGGAGGGUGCGAGCGUUAAGCGGAAUUAUUGGGCGUAAAGCGAGCGGAGGCGGUAUGUCAAGUCUAGGGUGAAAUCCCCGGGCUCAACGGGGGAGGGGCCUUGGAAACUGGGAGACUGGAGUGUAGAAGAGGAGAGUGGAAUUCCAGGUGUAGGGGUGAAAUGCGUAGAUAUAUGGAGGAACAUCAGUGGCGAAGGCGACUAUCUGGUACGUAACUGACGCUGAGGAGCGAAAGCGUGGGGAGCAAACAGGAUUAGAUACCCGGGUAGUC
RNAcentral lists this ribosomal RNA (465 nucleotides) under uncultured bacterium. RNAcentral's name for it is "partial 16S ribosomal RNA". It matches the Rfam family "Bacterial small subunit ribosomal RNA", at positions 338 to 795 of the family's 1533-position model. The record is from RNAcentral.